Molecule: ribosomal RNA, 440 nt
Filed under: uncultured bacterium
Lineage: Bacteria
Description: partial 16S ribosomal RNA
Rfam family: Bacterial small subunit ribosomal RNA
Source: RNAcentral
CCUACGGGUGGCUGCAGUGGGGAAUAUUGCACAAUGGUGGAAACCCUGAUGCAGCCACGCCGCGUGAGUGAUGAAGGCAUUCGGGUUGUGAAGCUCUGUCUUCAGGGACGAUAAUGACGGGCCCUGAGGAUGGAGCCACGGCUAACGACGUGCCGGCAGCCGCGGUAAUCCGUAGGUGGCGAGCGUUGUCCGGAUUUAGUGGUCGUAAAGUGGGCGUAGGCGGACUUUUAAGUGAGAGGGGAAAUACUCGGGCACAACUUGAGGGCUGCAUUUAAAACUGGAAGUCUAGAGUGCAGGAGAGGAGAAUGGAAUGCCUAGUGUAGCGGUGAAAUGCGUAGAGAUUAGGAAGAACACCAGUGGCGAAGGCGAUUCUCUGGACUGUAACUGACGCUGAGGCUCGAAAGCGUGGGGAGCAAACAGGAUUAGAUACCCUGGUAGUC